UACGUAGGGUCCAAGCAUUAUCCGGAAUUACUGGGCGUAAAGAGUUCGUAGGUGGUUUUUUAAGUUAGGUGUUAAAUAUAUGGGCUCAACUCAUAUGCCGCAUCUAAUACUGGGAAACUUGAGAGUGGAAGGGGCAGACGGAAUUCACGGUGGAGUGGUAAAAUGCGUAGAUAUCGUGAAGAACACCAAUGGCGAAGGCAGUCUGCUGGGCCACUUCUGACACUGAGGAACGAAAGCGUGGGGAGCGAUCGGG
Molecule: ribosomal RNA, 253 nt
Filed under: uncultured bacterium
Lineage: Bacteria
Description: partial 16S ribosomal RNA
Rfam family: Bacterial small subunit ribosomal RNA
Source: RNAcentral